RNAcentral lists this ribosomal RNA (497 nucleotides) under uncultured bacterium. RNAcentral's name for it is "partial 16S ribosomal RNA". It matches the Rfam family "Bacterial small subunit ribosomal RNA", at positions 28 to 507 of the family's 1533-position model. The record is from RNAcentral.
GACGAACGCUGGCGGCGUGCCUAAUACAUGCAAGUUGAGCGCUGAAGGUUGGUACUUGUACCAACUGGAUGAGCAGCGAACGGGUGAGUAACGCGUGGGGAAUCUGCCUUUGAGCGGGGGACAACAUUUGGAAACGAAUGCUAAUACCGCAUAAAAACUUUAAACACAAGUUUUAAGUUUGAAAGAUGCAAUUGCAUCACUCAAAGAUGAUCCCGCGUUGUAUUAGCUAGUUGGUGAGGUAAAGGCUCACCAAGGCGAUGAUACAUAGCCGACCUGAGAGGGUGAUCGGCCACAUUGGGACUGCGACACGGCCCAACCUCCUACGGGAGGCAGCAGUAGGGAAUCUUCGGCAAUGGACGAAAGUCUGAACGAGCAACGCCGCGUGAGUGAAGAAGGUUUUCGGAUCGUAAAACUCUGUUGGUAGAGAAGAACGUUGGUGAGAGUGGAAAGCUCAUCAAGUGACGGUAACUACCCAGAAAGGGACGGCUAACUACGUG